UAUAGCACAGGUGUACAGGAGCAGCUGUUCUCCGGCUGACGAGGCCCCACCCUGACAGCCUGUUGACACAGGAAGUACACCAGCUUCAAGGAAAAAUGCUGUUCCAGUGUGACUUCAAAACCAGCUAAAAGAGAUCCAGGAGAAGCCCUGCCAGAACCAGAGCGACGCUGAGACUCUUUCAUCCCUGUUAACCACAACAUGUUGCACCCAGAGACCCCGAGGUGUGAGUCACCAGACUACAUCAUGUAACAACUGCCAUGUCUGGUGGGAGAGGUUUUAAAGCCGGAUGAUCCUUUAGUGAGUUCAGCCUUUCGAGAUGCUCCUCCUCCUGUC
Long non-coding RNA from Dicentrarchus labrax (European seabass), 333 nucleotides. RefSeq lists it as uncharacterized. NCBI's taxonomy places the organism in Eukaryota, Metazoa, Chordata, Actinopteri, Moronidae. The record is from RefSeq and is a predicted model, not a curated record. The transcript is spliced from 3 exons.